GAUGAACGCUAGCGGCAGGCUUAAUACAUGCAAGUCGAGGGGCAGCGCGGGUAGCAAUACCUGGCGGCGACCGGCGCACGGGUGCGUAACGCGUAUGUAAUCUACCUUUAACCGGGGAAUAGCCCAGAGAAAUCUGGAUUAAUGCCCUAUAGUAUUAUUGGAAGGCAUCUUUCGAUAAUUAAAGCUCCGGCGGUUUUAGAUGAACAUGCGUGUCAUUAGUUAGUUGGCGAGGUAACGGCUCACCAAGACUACGAUGACUAGGGGGUCUGAGAGGAUGAUCCCCCACACUGGUACUGAGACACGGACCAGACUCCUACGGGAGGCAGCAGUAAGGAAUAUUGGGCAAUGGAGGCAACUCUGACCCAGCCAUGCCGCGUGAAGGAUGACGGCCCUCGUGGUUGUAAACUUCUUUUGUACGGGAAUAACCCUCGAACGUGUUCGGAGCUGAAGGUACCGUAAGAAUAAGGAUCGGCUAACUCCGUGCCAGCAGCCGCGGUAAU
Molecule: ribosomal RNA, 500 nt
Filed under: uncultured bacterium
Lineage: Bacteria
Description: bacterial SSU rRNA
Rfam family: Bacterial small subunit ribosomal RNA
Source: RNAcentral